UUAGGAGAGAACAAAAGAAAUGUUUAAAAUGGUAUGUUUCUCAUACGUCAGAAGCUACAUCAAUCACCUAUUCCCCCCUCCCUUUCCUGUCAGCUAUGGGAAGUUCACACAGGAAAAUCACCAACUUCCACUCAGCCACAAUCCUUCUGUGAGACCUCAUGGAAGAUACUUUGCUUUUUCUCCCGGGUGGCAGUUUCUCCACUAGCUAUGUUAUGUUUUUAGGCCAUGUUUUUGAACUUCCUCUUUGGUGGGUAGCCUGAGAUGAUCAUUGAAGGCAUACACACUUAUUUCCAACACCAGAAGAGAUUACGUCUUGAGUCUAAAAAGUACCCCUGACAUAGGAGGUGCCUCCAUACCUGUAAGCAUUCCCAGAAGCCAACAGGAUUGCGUGGAUCAGAACAUUGAGUAAGGCAACAUGGCUUAAACCCUUUGCUGUUCAUAGUUGGAAAGCAGCUUCCAAGGAAGCAGAUCUCAAUUUCUUCUACAGCUGAAGACACCUGAAGGCUGAAGCAGGACUAAAGAGCCCAGAGACAGCAUGGUGUGUUAGGAGAGAACUGGCCUUGCACUUGGAGGACCCAGCUUCUGGUCCUGCUAUGCGACCCACUUGCUUGGUGACCAACUUAUGUCUCCUCUCAGGACGCUUGUUUUUCCAUGUUUCAAAAGGGGAAAUUGGACUAGAUGGUCUCUAAGGUCUCUUCCAGUGUUGAUAUUUGAUUGUUCUCCCCAGGGGUUUCACAUAGAUCAUAACCAUUCUAGAGUCACACCCUCUGUCCCCAAUCCUGGAUCAGUAUUU
RNAcentral lists this long non-coding RNA (793 nucleotides) under Homo sapiens (human). Its description in RNAcentral is "HSALNT0286817". The record is from RNAcentral. Lineage: Eukaryota; Metazoa; Chordata; Mammalia; Primates; Hominidae.